This 1136-nucleotide ribosomal RNA is filed under the name Basilia truncata. Its description in RNAcentral is "partial 16S ribosomal RNA". Lineage: Eukaryota; Metazoa; Arthropoda; Insecta; Diptera; Nycteribiidae. The record is from RNAcentral.
UUUAAAUUUAUUUAUUUAUUUAUUUAUUUUAAUGAUUAUAUAUAUAUAUAUAUAUAAAUAUUAAAAAUAGUUAUAAAAUUUAAAUUUUUAGUAUUAAUUUAAGAAAAAAUAAAUGUUUAUUAUAGUUUAUUAGUAUUGAAAAAGAAAAUUGAAAUAUUUUGAAAAAUUUUAAUUUAUAAAGAAAAAUUUAUUUUUUGUACCUUGUGUAUCAGGGUUUAUUAAAUAAUAUUUAUGAAUAUAAAUUUCUCGAUUUUAAAAGAUUUAAUAUAUUAUAAAAUUUAAAGUAAUAAAUUUAUUUUAAAUAAUAUAUUUGAAAUGAAAUGUUAUUCGUUUUUAAAGGUAUCUAGUUUUUUAAGAAAUAAAUUUAAUUUAUAAAUUUUAUAUUAUUUAUUUAAUUGUAAAAAUAAAUAAUUAUUUAAUUUAAUUAUUUUAUGGGAUAAGCUAUAAAAUAAAAGUUUAAAAAAUAUAGUUAUUAAAUAAAAUAUAGGGUUAAAAUUAUUCAAUAUUAGAGAAAAUGUAAUAAUUUAUUAUUAUGAUAGAAAAAUUUUAUAAAUUUUUAAAUAUUUAUUAAUAUAUAAUUUUUAUUUAAUAAAAGUUAGAAAUAAUGAUAAAAUUAGUAUAAUAUAUUAUAAAAAUAAAUUUAAAUUUUAAAUUUUUUUAAAGAAUUCGGCAAAAUUAUAUAUUCACCUGUUUAACAAAAACAUCUCUUUAUGAAUAAAUAUAAAGUUUAACCUGCCCAAUGAUUAAUUAAAUGGCUGCAGUAUAUUGACUGUACAAAGGUAGCAUAAUCAAUAGUUUUUUAAUUGAAAACUGGAAUGAAUGGUUGGAUGAAAUAUAAACUGUUUCAAAAAAAAUUUAUUAGAAUUUUAUUUUUUAGUAAAAAAGCUAAAAUUUAUUUAAAAGACGAGAAGACCCUAUAAAUCUUUAUAUAAUAUAUUUAUAUAUAAUUAUUUAGAAAAUUAUACAUAUAUAUAUAUAUAUUAUAUUUUAUUGGGGAGAUAGUAAAAUUUAAUAAACUUUUAUAAAUUAGUUUCAUUAAUUUAUGAAUAUUUGAUUAAUUAUUAAUGCAUAAUAAAAUAAGUUACUUUAGGGAUAACAGCGUAAUUAUUUUGGAGAGUUCAUAUUGAUAAAAUAGA